CUGGGGAGAUGGCUCAGUGGGUAAAACCCUUGCUUUGUUGUCCUGAGGACCUGAGUUCAGAUGCCUGGAGCCUGAGUAAAAGCUGGACUGGGUAGCAGCUCUGACAUGGGAGAAUCCAAGGAGGCUCUCUGGUCAGCUGGCCUGGAGUACUACACAGUGGUGAACAAACUGGAAGUUCCAUCUUCAUAAGGACCUGACAAUACACCUUAAUGAGAGAGUGGGGAGCAGAGCAUCUUUACAGAUCCAGAGAAGAGAUGAGGAUGAGACAAAGCAGCAGACAGAAAGGCACAGCGUGUCCACGGAUGGAGACUCUGUGGAUUCCCGGGGGUAACAGACUCUGUGGUACUAAUUUAGAUCAUUAGAGCUGAUAAGAAAUAGAAUUACAUAGAAAAUAAAGACUUCCUCAGAUAUU
Mesocricetus auratus (golden hamster) is the source of this 412-nucleotide long non-coding RNA. RefSeq lists it as uncharacterized. Lineage: Eukaryota; Metazoa; Chordata; Mammalia; Rodentia; Cricetidae. The record is from RefSeq and is a predicted model, not a curated record. The transcript is spliced from 2 exons.